CAUUCACCAUUUCUCAAAUACAAAGUUAGCAAGUAGCAAAUAAGGACUAUUCAUACAACAACGUUUGGUGAAACCUUUGACAUGAUACUCGAUGAUGCCAAGGGUACAAAGUUCACCCUUAUGUGAAAAAGGAUAUGAUGAACCGGGUCCUCAAAUUCAAGAGGAGAAGUCUUGCAAUUUAAAUUUGAAUUCAAUAUUCGAAUGUACCAUCUGAUUUUACAUGAAAUGUUGAGAUUAGAGGUUAGAAGCAACUCUGACCUCCUUAUCCUUCUAUGUGUGAGUUGACAGAUCGACAUGAACUUGAAAGACAUGUAGGCUGAGAGAACCAGCCAAAAUAAUAGUAUUACUUGACAAUCAAAUGACAUAAUCUCUUUUAACUUCAUAAUCCGUUAUUGCCCAACAAAUAUACUAUGAGCAAUCGAUCUAUGCAAAAUUCCAAUUCGAUGAAGAACUAGGACAUAUCAAAGAAUUGGGAUUCUAAAGCAUCAAGCAGUGAGAGAGCUCACGAAUUUGGAGGGCUCUUCUCCUCGAGAAGAAGAUGCCUCAAAUGCAUCUUUGGGGACGGAAGUGGAGAGAGAUCUCAUGGCAGUGUUUGCUCUUUAGUUGCUGACGGAGACAGAGAUGAAUGCAAUUGUGAAAAAAAAAAAUGUAUUGACAUAGUUAUAUGGAUUAUAUAGCAUAAUCAAUAAUAUCCAAAAAGCUUACAAAUAUAUGUAUAGAAUCAAAUCAAAUUAAGAAGUAGCAAACUCAAUGAGAAAAAGAGUUCUUACACAAUCGGAACUAGAAACUGAGGACUAACCUUGAAGAUAUAAAGAGUAGAUCUUUCCAUUCUGGUAACCAUUCGUGAUGAGAUGAGACAAAAUCGGAGGCAUAGAAUCAUUAUGUAUAACAUACAUGAUUGGAUGAAGAGAACAUGAUUGGUUGAUCCAGUGGAGGAAGGUGGUUAGAAACGGCCUGUUGGUAGAAACGAAGAAGAUUGGUAAGGGACCAAUUUUGAUGGUCACGGGGGAGGAACCGAGGAAGAGAGGAGGAGGAGGAGGAACCGAGGAAAAUGACUUUAC
Camelina sativa (false flax) is the source of this 1061-nucleotide non-coding RNA. NCBI's taxonomy places the organism in Eukaryota, Viridiplantae, Streptophyta, Magnoliopsida, Brassicales, Brassicaceae. The record is from RefSeq and is a predicted model, not a curated record.